UACCAUAAAAGAUGUGGGCCGGUGAACAAGUAAUCGACGGGUGAAAAGAAGAUCUCAUUUCUAGACGUCUCAAAAACAUGCUACUACCUACUAGCAUUAGCUUAGACAAAAUUUAUGUUCGAAAUAUAGCUUAUCGCUUGCCACAACGGGGGUCAUGAUUUAAGUCAAUAUUCAUUUAUUCGGUUCAAUUAAAUAUGAAA
This 200-nucleotide long non-coding RNA is filed under the name Citrus maxima (pomelo). RNAcentral describes it as "long non-coding RNA (CMAX_LNC003818)". The record is from RNAcentral. Lineage: Eukaryota; Viridiplantae; Streptophyta; Magnoliopsida; Sapindales; Rutaceae.